UGCCAGCAGCCGCGGUAAUACGGAGGGGGCCAGCGUUGUCCGGAUUUACUGGGUGUAAAGGGCGCGCAGGCGGAUUUGUCAGUCAGGGGUGAAAUCCUACCGCUCAACGGUAGAACUGCCUUUGAUACUGGCAAACUUGAGUUAUUGUGAAGUAGUUAGAAUGUGUAGUGUAGCGGUGAAAUGCAUAGAUAUUACACAGAAUACCAAUUGCGAAGGCAGAUUACUAACAAUUAACUGACGCUGAGGGACGAAAGCGUGGGUAGCGAACAGGAUUAGAUA
Molecule: ribosomal RNA, 279 nt
Filed under: uncultured bacterium
Lineage: Bacteria
Description: partial 16S ribosomal RNA
Rfam family: Bacterial small subunit ribosomal RNA
Source: RNAcentral